AUACGGAGGGUGCAAGCGUUAUUCGGAAUCACUGGGCGUAAAGGACGCGUAGGCGGGUUGGCAAGUCAGAUGUGAAAUCCUACAGCUUAACUGUAGAACUGCAUUUGAAACUGCUAACCUAGAGUAUGGGAGGGGGAGAUGGAAUUAGUGGUGUAGGGGUAAAAUCCGUAGAUAUCACUAGGAAUACCGAAAGCGAAGGCGAUCUCCUGGAACAUAACUGACGCUAAGGCGUGAAAGCGUGGGGGGCAAACAGGAUUAGAAACCCUAGUAGUCC
This 274-nucleotide ribosomal RNA is filed under the name uncultured bacterium. Its description in RNAcentral is "partial 16S ribosomal RNA". It matches the Rfam family "Bacterial small subunit ribosomal RNA", at positions 523 to 796 of the family's 1533-position model. The record is from RNAcentral.